This 433-nucleotide ribosomal RNA is filed under the name uncultured bacterium. RNAcentral's name for it is "partial 16S ribosomal RNA". It matches the Rfam family "Bacterial small subunit ribosomal RNA", at positions 29 to 507 of the family's 1533-position model. The record is from RNAcentral.
AACGAACGCUGGCGGCAUGCCUAACACAUGCAAGUCGAACGAGACCUUCGGGUUUAGUGGCGAACGGGUGCGUAACGCGUGGGAACCUGCCCUUAGGUUCGGAAUAAAUCCCCGAAAGGGGUGUUAAUACCGGAUAAUGUCUUGGGACCAAAGAUUUAUCGCCUUUGGAUGGGCCCGCGUUGGAUUAGCUAGUUGGUAGGGUAAAAGCCUACCAAGGCGACGAUCCAUAGCUGGUCUGAGAGGAUGAUCAGCCACACUGGGACUGAGACACGGCCCAGACUCCUACGGGAGGCAGCAGUGGGGAAUAUUGGACAAUGGGCGAAAGCCUGAUCCAGCAAUGCCGCGUGAGUGAUGAAGGCCUUAGGGUUGUAAAGCUCUUUUACCCGGGAUGAUAAUGACAGUACCGGGAGAAUAAGCUCCGGCUAACUCCGUG